Molecule: ribosomal RNA, 390 nt
Filed under: Mallomonas annulata
Lineage: Eukaryota; Synurophyceae; Synurales; Mallomonadaceae
Description: partial small subunit ribosomal RNA
Rfam family: Eukaryotic small subunit ribosomal RNA
Source: RNAcentral
GCUUGUCUCAAAGAUUAAGCCAUGCAUGUCUAAGUAUAAGCACCCUUAUACUGCGAAACUGCGUACAGCUCAUUAUAUCAGCAAUUAUUUAUUUGAAGGUCACCUAUUACAUGGAUAACCGUGGUAAUUCUAGAGCUAAUACAUGCGAAAAGUCGGCGCAAGUCGAUGUAUUUAUUAGAUGGAAACCAAUGCGGGGCAACCCGGUAUAUGGUGAUUCAUAAUAACUUUCGGAUCGAUCUUCGGAUCGAUGCAUCAUUCAAGUUUCUGCCCUAUCAGCUUUGGAUGGUAGGGUAUUGGCCUACCAUGGCUUUAACGGGUAACGGAGAAUUAGGGUUCGAUUCCGGAGAGGGAGCCUGAGAAAUGGCUACCACAUCCAAGGAAGGCAGCAGG